Molecule: ribosomal RNA, 465 nt
Filed under: uncultured bacterium
Lineage: Bacteria
Description: partial 16S ribosomal RNA
Rfam family: Bacterial small subunit ribosomal RNA
Source: RNAcentral
CCUACGGGUGGCAGCAGUGGGGAAUAUUGCGCAAUGGGAGAAAGCCGGACGCAGCGACGCCGCGUGAGGGAUGAAGGUCUUCGGAUCGUAAACCUCUGUCAGCAGGGAAGAACGGUCACUGUGCUAAUCAGCAGUGCAUUGACGGUACCUGCAACGGAAGCACCGGCUAACUCCGUGCCAGCAGCCGCGGUAAUAAGGAGGGUGCGAGCGUUAAUCGGAAUUACUGGGCGUAAAGCGCUCGUAGGCGGGAUGUCAAGUCAAGGGUGAAAUCCCCGCGCUCAACGUGGGAACUGCCUUUGAAACUGGCAAACUGGAGUGUGUGAGUGGAUAGUGGAAUUCCAGGUGUAGGAGUGAAAUCCGUAGAUAUCUGGAGGAACAUCAGUGGCGAAGGCGACUAUCUGGCACAUAACUGACGCUGAGGAGCGAAAGCGUGGGUAGCAAACAGGAUUAGAUACCCUUGUAGUC